UCAGGACGAACGCUGGCGGCGUGCCUAAUACAUGCAAGUCGAACGAACUCUGGUAUUGAUUGGUGCUUGCAUCAUGAUUUACAUUUGAGUGAGUGGCGAACUGGUGAGUAACACGUGGGAAACCUGCCCAGAAGCGGGGGAUAACACCUGGAAACAGAUGCUAAUACCGCAUAACAACUUGGACCGCAUGGUCCGAGUUUGAAAGAUGGCUUCGGCUAUCACUUUUGGAUGGUCCCGCGGCGUAUUAGCUAGAUGGUGGGGUAACGGCUCACCAUGGCAAUGAUACGUAGCCGACCUGAGAGGGUAAUCGGCCACAUUGGGACUGAGACACGGCCCAAACUCCUACGGGAGGCAGCAGUAGGGAAUCUUCCACAAUGGACGAAAGUCUGAUGGAGCAACGCCGCGUGAGUGAAGAAGGGUUUCGGCUCGUAAAACUCUGUUGUUAAAGAAGAACAUAUCUGAGAGUAACUGUUCAGGUAUUGACGGUAUUUAACCAGAAAGCCACGGCUAACUACGUGCCAGCAGCCGCGGUAAUACGUAGGUGGCAAGCGUUGUCCGGAUUUAUUGGGCGUAAAGCGAGCGCAGGCGGUUUUUUAAGUCUGAUGUGAAAGCCUUCGGCUCAACCGAAGAAGUGCAUCGGGAAACUGGGAAACUUGAGUGCAGAAGAGGACAGUGGAAACUCCAUGUGUAGCGGUGAAAUGCGUAGAUAUAUGGAAGAACACCAGUGGCGAAGGCGGCUGUCUGGUCUGUAACUGACGCUGAGGCUCGAAAAGUAUGGGUAGCAAACAGGAUUAGAUACCCUGGUAGUCCAUACCGUAAACGAUGAAUGCUAAGUGUUGGAGGGUUUCCGCCCUUCAGUGCUGCAGCUAACGCAUUAAGCAUUCCGCCUGGGGAGUACGGCCGCAAGGCUGAAACUCAAAGGAAUUGACGGGGGCCCGCACAAGCGGUGGAGCAUGUGGUUUAAUUCGAAGCUACGCGAAGAACCUUACCAGGUCUUGACAUACUAUGCAAAUCUAAGAGAUUAGACGUUCCCUUCGGGGACAUGGAUACAGGUGGUGCAUGGUUGUCGUCAGCUCGUGUCGUGAGAUGUUGGGUUAAGUCCCGCAACGAGCGCAACCCUUAUUAUCAGUUGCCAGCAUUAAGUUGGGCACUCUGGUGAGACUGCCGGUGACAAACCGGAGGAAGGUGGGGAUGACGUCAAAUCAUCAUGCCCCUUAUGACCUGGGCUACACACGUGCUACAAUGGAUGGUACAACGAGUUGCGAACUCGCGAGAGUAAGCUAAUCUCUUAAAGCCAUUCUCAGUUCGGAUUGUAGGCUGCAACUCGCCUACAUGAAGUCGGAAUCGCUAGUAAUCGCGGAUCAGCAUGCCGCGGUGAAUACGUUCCCGGGCCUUGUACACACCGCCCGUCACACCAUGAGAGUUUGUAACACCCAAAGUCGGUGGGGUAACCUUUUAGGAACCAGCCGCCUAAGGUUACAGA
Molecule: ribosomal RNA, 1483 nt
Filed under: Lactiplantibacillus plantarum
Lineage: Bacteria; Bacillati; Bacillota; Bacilli; Lactobacillales; Lactobacillaceae
Description: bacterial SSU rRNA
Rfam family: Bacterial small subunit ribosomal RNA
Source: RNAcentral